GGUGCUUCUCCCACCUUUCGCUUAGAUCAAAUGUAGUAUCUGUUCUAUCCAUGUUUAACCACUUGGAUCCUUUCGCAAGAAAGAUUAACUUAUGGUUUUCCAUAAUUUUUGGUUGUUUUUACUCCGCUCGUGCGACGAGUCGUGCGAGGGGUGUAUAGGUGUCCCUGGUAUUACACUGCUUCUGGGUGAUGCUGAUUUUGA
RNAcentral lists this small nuclear RNA (201 nucleotides) under Sclerotinia sclerotiorum 1980 UF-70. RNAcentral describes it as "U2 spliceosomal RNA". It matches the Rfam family "U2 spliceosomal RNA". From Rfam's summary of the family: U2 is a small nuclear RNA (snRNA) component of the spliceosome (involved in pre-mRNA splicing). Complementary binding between U2 snRNA (in an area lying towards the 5' end but 3' to hairpin I) and the branchpoint sequence (BPS) of the intron results the bulging out of an unpaired adenosine, on the BPS, which initiates a nucleophilic attack at the intronic 5' splice site, thus starting the first of two transesterification reactions that mediate splicing. Lineage: Eukaryota; Fungi; Ascomycota; Leotiomycetes; Helotiales; Sclerotiniaceae. The record is from Rfam by way of RNAcentral.